This 439-nucleotide ribosomal RNA is filed under the name uncultured bacterium. Its description in RNAcentral is "partial 16S ribosomal RNA". It matches the Rfam family "Bacterial small subunit ribosomal RNA", at positions 339 to 795 of the family's 1533-position model. The record is from RNAcentral.
CUACGGGUGGCUGCAGUGAGGAAUAUUGCACAAUGGGGGGAACCCUGAUGCAGCAACGCCGCGUGAAGGAUGACGCAUUUCGGUGUGUAAACUCCUUUUAUAUGUCAAGAAAAUGACGGUAGCAUAUGAAUAAGCACCGGCUAACUCCGUGCCAGCAGCCGCGGUAAUACGGAGGGUGCAAGCGUUACUCGGAAUCACUGGGCGUAAAGGACGCGUAGGCGGGUUGGAAAGUCAGGUGUGAAAUCCUACAGCUUAACUGUAGAACUGCACUUGAAACUUCUAAUCUAGAGUAUGGGAGGGGGAGAUGGAAUUAGUGGUGUAGGGGUAAAAUCCGUAGAUAUCACUAGGAAUACCUAAAGCGAAGGCGAUCUCCUGGAACAUUACUGACGCUAAGGCGUGAAAGCGUGGGGAGCAAACAAGAUUAGAUACCCCGGUAGUC